UUAAACCAGCGGUUCCAGGGUUCUCCUGGCCUCUCUCGGCCCCACACCCCGCAGCUGGCGAGGCCUACAGCGAAGAUAGAGAGGAAACCCGGAAGUGGGGAGGACCUCCGAGCACGUGAUGGGGGAACCCGCUGGCGCCGUCACGUGACCCGCCGACCUGCUGCUCCGCGGUGCGGAAUGUUCAGCUGCUCUUAAAGGGCACAGACCCUCCCGGUCCCAUCGGAGCCGACUCCGAACGUGCGCUGACUUUGGACCCCUGGGGACCCUGAACUUGAUGCCAUGGGAGGCAGCGCGGGCUCGCGGCGACGCCUUUCAGACUCCGAGGGAGAGGUGACGGCCCAGGAACCUCGGGAACCUGGGCCCCCGCCGCCGGACCGGCAGGGCGCCCAUUGGAAGAACGCGAUGGGCUUCUGGCUCUUGGGCCUUUGCAACAACUUUUCUUACGUGGUGAUGCUCAGUGCUGCUCAUGACAUCCUCAGCCACAAGAGGGCAUCUGGAAACCAAAGCCAUGUAGACCCAGACCCAGUCCCCACCCCCCACAAUAACUCAUCUCGCUUUGACUGCAACUCUGUCUCCACAGCUGCGGUGCUCCUGGCAGACAUCCUCCCCACACUCGUCAUCAAAUUGCUGGCUCCCCUUGGCCUUCAUCUGCUGCCCUACAGCCCCCGGGUUCUCUUCAGUGGGAUUUGUGCAGCUGGAAGCUUCAUCCUCGUUGCAUUUUCCCACUCGGUGGUGACCAGCCUGUGUGGUGUGGUCUUGGCUAGCAUCUCAUCAGGCCUGGGGGAGGUCACCUUCCUCUCACUCACCGCCUUCUACCCCAGGGCUGUGAUCUCCUGGUGGUCCUCGGGCACUGGAGGAGCAGGGCUGCUGGGGGCAUUGUCCUACCUGGGCCUCACCCAGGUGGGCCUCUCCCCCCAGCACACCCUGCUGUCCAUGCUGGGCAUCCCCGCCUUGCUGCUGGCCAGCUAUUUCUUUUUGCUCACAUCGCCCGGGCCCCAGGACCCUGGAGGGGAAGAAGAGGCAGAGAGGGCAGCUCGGCAACCCCUGAUGAGCAGCGAGGCGCCCGAGGCCCCCGAGUGGAAGCCAGACUCCAGCCCAAGCCUCUCCCUUCAGGAGAAGUGGACUGUGUUCAAGGGCCUGCAGUGUUACAUCCUCCCAUUGGUCCUGGUCUACUUUGCUGAGUACUUCAUCAAUCAGGGGCUUUUUGAGCUCCUCUUCUUCCGGAACACGUCCCUGAGUCACGCUCAGCAGUACCGCUGGUACCAGAUGCUGUACCAGGCCGGCGUCUUUGCCUCCCGCUCCUCUCUUCGCUGCUUUCGCAUCCAGUUCACAUGGGCCCUGGCCCUGCUGCAGUGUCUCCAAGAACUGGGGCCACUGGAGGGAUGGCAGCCUCCCCUUCUCCUGCCACAAGUCCAGGCUCAGCCCUGCCCUCCACCUGCACCCACAGUGCUUCAACCUGGUCUUCCUGCUGGUGGACGUAUGGCUGAGCUUCCUGCCGAGCAUCUACCUCGUCUUCCUGAUCGUUCUGUAUGAGGGGCUCCUGGGGGGCGCUGCCUACGUGAACACCUUCCACAACAUCGCCCUGGAGACCAGUGACGAGCACCGGGAAUUUGCCAUGGCAACCGCCUGUAUGUCCGACACCUUGGGGAUCUCCCUGUCAGGGCUCCUGGCCCUGCCCCUGCACGACUUCCUCUGCCGCCUCCCCUGACACUGGGCUUCUUGGGACACAGGACGCACUGGCAGGUGGGCAGGCCAGACCCCGGGCCCACAGCC
Molecule: RNA transcript, 1773 nt
Organism: Myotis lucifugus (little brown bat)
Lineage: Eukaryota; Metazoa; Chordata; Mammalia; Chiroptera; Vespertilionidae
Gene: CLN3
Gene name: CLN3, battenin
Exons: 16
Source: RefSeq, a predicted model, not a curated record